UUGAAACACCAGUUCUCAUUUGAUCACUAAAGUUAAGCAAAGUUGUGUCUGGUCAGUACUCAGAUGGGUAACUGCUGGGGAAUACCAGAUACUGUAAG
Non-coding RNA from Acanthosepion pharaonis, 98 nucleotides. NCBI's taxonomy places the organism in Eukaryota, Metazoa, Mollusca, Cephalopoda, Sepiida, Sepiidae. The record is from the annotation of a GenBank genome assembly.